This is a small nuclear RNA of Suncus etruscus (white-toothed pygmy shrew), 106 nucleotides long. The record is from RefSeq and is a predicted model, not a curated record. NCBI's taxonomy places the organism in Eukaryota, Metazoa, Chordata, Mammalia, Eulipotyphla, Soricidae.
GUGCUUGCUUCGGCAGCACAUAUAUUAAAUUGGAGCAAUACAGAGAAUAUUAGCAUGGCCACUGUGCAAGGAUGACACGCAAAUUCAUGAAGCAUUCCAUAUUUUU